AGGACGAACGCUGGCGGCGUGCUUAACACAUGCAAGUCGAGCGGAAAGGCCCUUCGGGGUACUCGAGCGGCGAACGGGUGAGUAACACGUGAGCAACCUGCCCUUAGCUCCGGGAUAGGCUCCGGGAAACCGGAAUUAAAUACCGGAUACGACCACGGCCGACAUCUGCUGUGGUGGAAAGGAUUCCGGCUAAGGAUGGGCUCGCGGCCUAUCAGUCUAGUUGGUGGAGUAACGGCCCACCAAGGCGACGACGGGUA
This 257-nucleotide ribosomal RNA is filed under the name uncultured bacterium. Its description in RNAcentral is "partial small subunit ribosomal RNA". It matches the Rfam family "Bacterial small subunit ribosomal RNA", at positions 26 to 285 of the family's 1533-position model. The record is from RNAcentral.